GAAGACCAGCUAAUGAAGAAGGAGCCCUGAUAAUUAAUAUUGCCCUUUGUUCUCACACAAUUUAAAACUGACAACAACUUGCCAACAACCAAAAAAAUCACAACUAAACCCACUCCAAGCCCCAAAGGCAAUUACUUGAAAUGUAUUCAUUUGUUACUAUAUUACAAAAUUUACUAGUGUGUUUAUUACACAAAAAGAAACUUAAGCAUUUCUGAAUCUAGCAUGACUUUUUUUAACCUCCUUUCACAUAAACGCCUUUCAUAAAGCAGUUGUUGCCAAGCAGCUUAAAUCCUGUUCUCUAACAAGAAACAAUUGUAUUUUAAUAACUUCAAAACUACCUCAAUCUACAGGAAACAUAAGGAAACCCUGCUAAUCUGUAUAGUUAAGAAUUUAAACAGAACAUGAUUAGCAGAAGGGUUGGCUCUAAUCUUCCUGCCCUGAAGACUGCAGAAUAACCCCACAACCCACACUUCAGUCCCUGCUCAACCCCAGAACUGCUUCAGUUUGCAUCCAGGAAUAACCUGCACUUCCAGAACUCACCGUGUCAGGCAACUACUAGAAUUGUGUUAUUUAACAAACACAACCCUGCUCCCACUAACCAACCCUGACUUAUUUUUGAAAUUACACACCCUCCAUUUAGUUUUCACUUCUUGUCCCAAUACCUACAAUUUAGAAAAUUAAUUUUUUCCAGCUGCUUUCUACUGGUGUUCAAAUUUCAAAAGCAAGGAGGGGUUUAUGUGACUUGCAGGGCCCAGAACCAGGGUCUCCCUGUUGAAAGCUGGUUUGCUUUCAAGUGGGAGUAUUACAAGUAAAAGGGAUAGGCUACCUGUCAAGAGGGUUAAGAUGAAAUGCAUCCCUCUAACUCAUGAGUGCCGGGGCCUAUUGAACAAACUAAACUUGUCUGUGAAUAUAGCAGUGCCCUGAAUAAUCAAAUCCCACUUUACUUCAUGUAUGGAGAAUGCCUCCUUGGAGUUCAAGAACUAUUCUGUUACUAGUUAAAACGUAAAAUUUCUCAUUAAAAGAACAAGCUCCAGCCCAGAAACUUCUCUGUGCAUCAAACCAAUGCUGCCUGUCACAAGUAUCACAGAGAUCAUCAGAGCUGUUCCUAUGGACAUAGUGAACAGCUGGGGUGCUUGGCUCAAGUGUGGGAUAUGGGAACACUUCAUUUCGAAUAGCCAUGUAGGAUUUCCACACGUUUUCUGAGGCUCACUGCCUGGGAAUCGGGAAAACCUGAAAAAGGCUCAGAAACACAGUUAUGACCAUCUCAUUUUUUUUAAAAAGCUUUAAGGCAUUUUAAAGUAAUAGCUGCAAAAUACAGAGCUAACACAGCAUAUGGAAGAGAGGGAUGUGAUAAAAAAAGAUAUUUGAUCUGCACUCAGUGCUAUGGUGAGUAAAGAAAAGUUUCGUACCUGUCUUCAGAUGUCUCUAAAGAUGGACCUUUUUUCUUUUUAUAGCUAUGUCAUACAAACCUUCAUGUGAACUUUGUCACUAAAUAUAUCUUUAUGCUACUGAAUUCACUGUUUCCAAUAGUGGAGUAAACACCUAGAAGGAUAGAUGAAGGACAGAGCUUGCCCCCGACAGCGAGCAUGAGCUGCUCCUGACACCCGCACACAUCCCUGGACUUCCAGCUCCCAGCCUCCCUGAACGAGGACAAACAGCUUUGCAGGGGUGUUUUGGUGCUGUCCUGGCUGGGUGAGCAUCAGCUUGGCCCAACACACUGCCUCCAUUGCCCGGCAACACUUCAGAACAGCCUUGCCAACCCUCCCAAACCUCCAAGGUUUAGCUCCUUUGAUCUGUUUUAAAACACAUCAUGAGGACAGACUGAAGUGUGACAAUUAGACUGCAUCAAAACCCAUACAAUUGGAAGCACCAGUGAUAAGCCUUUUGGAUGAAGGAUUCCUUCUGACAGGAGUAUGGGAGACCUAAAUGCUCUAUGGCUGUCAGGCCUGGGGAGAAACCCAAAACCUUAGACUGGCCACACUCCAAAUAUGUGAGCUUAUGAUUUUGCCAUGUACAAACAGGUUCUUAAAGGGACAAGCAAGAUGAAAAUACUCAGCAGGAACUUAAUUUCAAUCUCAAGAGCACAUAAAGUCCCUGCUUGUAUCAGUAAACAACUGCCAUCUCCCAAUAAUAAGAUAAGCAACAAGCCAUUUCAGCACCUGCUCCCGGUGCAGAAGAAAACAAUGAUGGCCAAGUGCCGUCAGACUUUUCCUUCCUCAGUGGCUCAGCCCCAGCAGAGCAGAGCAGUGCUGCGGGGCCAGCACGUGCUGGGCAGCACAGGCCACCCUGGCCUCGCCACGGUGCUACAGGCCAGGAGAACUGGAGCAACUGGACAGUUUUUUUUCUGAAGGAAGCUGAGGAGCAAGAGGGGUUCCCGAUGGAGGAACAGGUGCUACCCCUCCCUGCCAAGGUGGCAGCACCCUCUGCCUUUGGACAUAUCACGUCACCUUCCACUUCUAAGAGAGGAAGAUGAGCAGCAAGACAGCAAUAUUUAUAAAAGGCAGAACUGGGAAAGAAAAGUGCCGAGAAGACCACAGAACAAUCCAUUUGAGUCAGGCUGCUAGGAACAGCCUGCCAAGCACUGCCAUCCCCAGCUCUGGUGCUUUCAACCACAGCACUGGACUGUCAAAUGAAGUACCACAGC
Oenanthe melanoleuca is the source of this 2644-nucleotide long non-coding RNA. RefSeq lists it as uncharacterized. Lineage: Eukaryota; Metazoa; Chordata; Aves; Passeriformes; Muscicapidae. The transcript has 3 exons. The record is from RefSeq and is a predicted model, not a curated record.